This 448-nucleotide ribosomal RNA is filed under the name uncultured bacterium. Its description in RNAcentral is "bacterial SSU rRNA". It matches the Rfam family "Bacterial small subunit ribosomal RNA", at positions 329 to 794 of the family's 1533-position model. The record is from RNAcentral.
GACCAGACUCCUACGGGAGGCAGCAGUGGGGGAUAUUGCACAAUGGGGGAAACCCUGAUGCAGCGACGCCGCGUGAGUGAAGAAGUAAUUCGUUACGUAAAGCUCUAUCAGCAGGGAAGAAAAUGACGGUACCUGACCAAGAAGCCCCGGCUAACUACGUGCCAGCAGCCGCGGUAAUACGUAGGGGGCAAGCGUUAUCCGGAUUUACUGGGUGUAAAGGGAGCGUAGACGGCGGGGCAAGCCUGGAGUGAAAGGCAGGGGCCCAACCCCUGGACUGCUCUGGAAACUGUCCGGCUGGAGUGCAGGAGAGGUAAGUGGAAUUCCUAGUGUAGCGGUGAAAUGCGUAGAUAUUAGGAGGAACACCAGUGGCGAAGGCGGCUUACUGGACUGUACCUGACGCUGAGGCGCGAAAGCGUGGGUAGCGAACGGGAUUAGAUACCCGAGUAGU